Long non-coding RNA from Sebastes umbrosus (honeycomb rockfish), 3501 nucleotides. RefSeq lists it as uncharacterized. NCBI's taxonomy places the organism in Eukaryota, Metazoa, Chordata, Actinopteri, Perciformes, Sebastidae. The transcript is spliced from 2 exons. The record is from RefSeq and is a predicted model, not a curated record.
UCUAAGCAUGCUUGGCUUAUAGGCCUACUUGUACUUAAUCUUUUGAUCGGGAUACUGUAUACUUUAGAAAAUUAUAAUUAAGUAUUCUUGCCUUAUAGGCCUACAGAAAGGUAUACUUGGCUUGAAGUUGUGCUUAACUUUCUGUUAGAGUAGCUUAUUCAAGUGUGUCAGUUGUAACUACAGAAUUAUUUUAAAAAUGAUUCAAAUAUAAAAUCAAAGCACUAACACAAAUUUGGGUAACCAUAUUUGUCUGAAUAACAAUUAUUCUCCAAAUCCUCUCCUGAAUAUUGAGUUUGAUUCCCAGCUUUUCUUUUUUCCUUUUUUCUCUUUUCAUUGUUGUAGAUUUGGCAAAUAAAAAAAAAUCUCCAGCUUCAAACAAACUUCUUGAUAUCCUCAGUUUGCAGCAAAAAUAUGUUUCAAUGUCUCCUUUUUCAUUUGUUUUGUAACUUCACAGAAGAAAAGUCACAAAGAUGUUAGUUUAAACUGUUCUCACUAUUUUUAUAGAAUAAAUAUGCGGGCAUUUAACUUCUCUGCUGCCUAAUAUCUCAAUUGGUUAUAAGGUAUUUUACAAAUGUGGUUCAACACAGUCUUCAACGAGUGUGGUGAUGGGUCUAAUGAAUGGACAGGAAAGGACUUUGGGUCAAACCUGUUCUGGCCAGUCAUCUGUUCAUGCCAUCAUCGGACCAUCCGAUUCCUCCUCAACCAUUGCGAUGCUACGAAUUGCAGGGGUUUUCCAAAUACCAAUGGUAAAUAUUUGUCAUAUUGGUAUUAUUUUUUUGACUGAUUUCACCAUGUUCCUUUUUACAACGUAGUGGGUUCAGGGUGUGAAUAUUUGUAACUGGUUGAGUGUGAACAGGUGAUUCCUGAAAAAAAGAACCCGGUUCAGGUUAUUUUCAAGUGUUUUUUUUUGUUCAUUUGACGAAUCCUUUUUACCUAUAUGUUUUUUGUAAAUGUUGAUAUUAUUCUCUUGUGAUGACAGUGUACAUGGUGAGGGCCCUAUUGUCCUUAUUAAAAUGAAGAGACAGGAAGUCAUGAAUAGUUUUUACAUUAUUUUUCUUUUCUUUUACAUUUUUAUUGAAAUAAAAUAAAGUGGUAACAAUACAAGUGUAAGAUAAUACAGGACAUGAUUUUUAAACGUUUUUUUUUUAUAUAUGAAAUGCAAAUUAACAUGUGGGGACGCAAAAAAAACCUUCGUGGAGGUAUGCCCAAACCCAAAAGGAUGUCAGCCAUUUUUAAUUCAAUGUACCAUUUUUGCCCAUUUUUAGCAUUUUAUAUGCCCUGUAACAAACUCCUCGUACAGAUGAAUUAAUUAAUUAAUUAAUCAGAUUUGAAAUUUGGUCAGGACCAUCUAAAGACCUUAAGGAUGAAAAGUUAUUAAAACCCUGAGUUUUCAUUAAACGACCCGCCUUGGUGUGGCGGCCAUUUUGGUCCAUUCACCAUGAAACAGGAAGUUGCUCUAACUCCACUGUACAUAGUCCAAUCUGCUCCAAAUGUCUCAGCCAUGAUAACGGUCCUCUCCUGACGUCAUUCACAUGCCAAUACAAACUCAGAGCCCCGCCCCUACACGUAAGUUCCGCCCUAUUCCAUAACUCAUAAACUGUUUGUCAUAGACUCUUGUGGGAGGUAUUAUUGCUCGCAGCAGAUAGUUCCUGUUUCAUGAUACGGUUAUUCCCGGCCCCUACACAUCGAUGUCCCGCCAGUAAUCCAGACGCGCAAGCUGGUGCGAGGGCCCAGUCAUCAUUGCUUGCGGCUUUAAUUAUUAUUAUUUUAACGCAAGUAUUUUUUAACUGUCUAUUGAAGCACCCAACAGGUAGGAUUCCCUAUAUCAUGGAAUUACCUAAAAUCAUAAUGUGAGUUUAACUGCCAGUCAACAAUGUUGAGUUGACUUUGAAAAGAAUAUAUAGUUGCUUUGUAGCUUUUAUUUAGAUUUUGAUACAGAGAAAAAAGAAAGAUAUAUAUUAUGCAUUUUUAAGUGAAUAAUAUUCUGGGGUCACUUCCGUGAGACGUAUUUUUCUUUCGAUUUCAGGUAUGAGAACAAUUAUAAAGCACUUUGGUGCAGAUACAGUAUACAGAGAAAUAACCCAUAACUGGAGGCCAGAAUGGGAAAUAUCUCCACAGCCAAAGUGAACUUCCUAGGAGAGCUGACAUACGUUUGGAUGAAUGUGAUCCAGACUGCACAGAAGUGUGGCCCUGAAGGCCAUUAACACCACUAUCUUUAUCCCCAGACCACAAGAGAUGCAGAGGACAAAGGUGAUGCUGAACGCUGUGUGUCGCAGCAUGCAGGACCACUCAGAGGGCCUGCCGAUGAAGGUCAGAGAACACAGGAAACACAGAGUCAAGGAGAAGAGCAGCAGGAAGCUCAGCUCUGACUUCAGUGAAGUAGAGGAACUCAACAUGUUUCAGUACACAUACAUCUCUGUUAUGAUUGGACCAAUACUCUUCAGGACACUUUUUGCAGUCAUAAGAAUCUGUAAUAGAAAUAUUGUCACGGUUAUUGUAAUUUUAUCAGUUUACAACCUAAAAACGUAAUUAAGAGACUGUACCAUAGCGAGCUUUAACAUAUAACAUAGAGUGUGUAAAGUAAACAAUGUAUGCAAAUUGGCUCAUCUCAGGUCUGUGGAGCAUAUACCUCUGCAUAUGGUAUAGAGUCAUAGCAGCAGGCCGGCUUUCCUUUCUGCAGGACUUUAUAAGUUCCUGGAUGACAGCUCUCACUGCACAUUGACACAGGCCUCAUUAUGGCUUCAGUUUUGAGGACAAACAUUCAUAAUAGCCAACAGGUUUAAACUGGACUGAGUCAUCUGAUCCACGCUGCCAGUUCACUACUUCGUAACGAGCCACAGCUGCUCCGGUGCUGUUUCUAUUAUUUUACCCUACAUGUUACAUCAUUUUUAGGGAAUUCUGCAUUUGGAUGAUGGAAUUAAAGUUACACUUUUGACAGCUGAUCAAAAUAAACAAUUUAACACACACCUGAUUUUGCGAGGCAUUGGGCCAUGUGAUAUUUAAUUUGGUGUUAUUGUUAUUUUCCAGUCAAAGGGAUGUUUAAUAGUCAGCUGAUAUGCCUCAUAGGCCUUCUUUAAUUAAAAUGAACUUGUUGUUUGUGUGUUUGCAGAGAUGCCUGUUAGUUUAUGGAACACUUUGGACCUCUCCAGAGGUUAUGUCCUUUGGGGGUUGAUUGGAGCACAUGUGGUGAAGUGCGUGUGCCUCAGGCCUGACCAUGACUUACACCUCAGGCUCUUCCCGCUCACAAGCAUUCUAACGAACUAACAAUCCCCCUCCAGAGUUCACAGUGUCUCCAGCCUACAUCCACUCCAUACCUGUCCUCAAGGCUUACACUGGAAACUUCCCGUCAGGGCUGUUUCAUCAUGAUCCCCUUAAGAUUGCUACUGGAGAACUUGUGAGGCCUUUGUACAAGACAGUGCCCUUUGACCAUGAUGUUGCCUGUUGAACUCACCAAACUUCAAUAAUGAAUAAAAUAAAUAAAGACAUACAUUUAAGUUUAUA